CACUCUCCUUUCUUAAACCGUGUUUUAAAUCCUAUUACUUUUUGCUUGUAUAAGAAAGCCACUCAAAUUGUGUUAAAAAAAAAAACCAAAACAGUGUGUAAUGGCACACCUCAAAAAAGCUACAAGCUCCCUCUUGUGUAAUAACGGUACGGCUAGAGGUGAGAUCAGAGUUCCUGACUCCAAGGCUGUUCCCCAGUUAAUUCCAAACAGAUUACAGAUUUUGGACUUUUAGGUUAAGGAUGCUCAGCAGGUAAAAAUCCAUACAAACACUCCAAGAAUGAAACACUUUGCUUACAGGGUACUUUACCAGAAUUGCAGUCUUACAUAACUACAAAUUAUUAGUUAUUAUCAGUCACUGUACCAUUGACAAAACCAAAGAUUGCUAAUGCAGCCUUCAGAAUCACUCUCUUCUGAUUUUAAGAUGACAGACAAGUGACUUGCUAGUAAGUACUUUAGGAACACAUAUUUAGUUAUGCCAAGAGUCUCUUCAUAAGAGACUAUAGAACUCAUUCCAUUUAGGCAUGAGGACUUGGGAGCUUGGAAUACCCAGGAAGGUUUGUGACCACACAUACAAUAUAGUUAGAUGGUAAAACUAAAGCCAGGGAGUGGAUCGAUAAAUUAUCAGUUGUUGACUUAUCUGAAAGAAAAGAGAAUUGGGUACAGGAUGAAAGAAUCAAAACACGUUCAAGGCAGCCUUUAGUUCCACACAGGCCAGAAGCAGGUAGAGUUCUGUGACUUGGAGCCCAGCCACAUCUACUUACUGAGUUCCUGUAUAGCCAGAGCUACAUAGUAAGACCCUGUCACAAAAACAGAAUAAACAAACCCACUUGGUUUAAGGGGCAAAUGCAGCUUUGUACAGUAGUGUGUGUGCAGUACACUGAGGCUUGAGGAGCAGCACUAGGGGAGAGACAGGAGGAGAAAGAAAUAGUCUAUCUGGUUAGGGACCAUCUGAUUGGAGAAGAAACACUGAGAAAGUCACCGUAAGAAAGGAAAGGUAGAAAACACAGGGGGAUUUAAAAAGGGCAUCUUUCACCAAGAAAGGGAAAGCUAUUGUUUGAGUUACUUGUGUAAGAAAGGAAAGGUAGAAAACACAGGGGGAUUUAAAAAGGGCAUCUUUCACCAAGAAAGGGAAAGCUAUUGUUUGAGUUACUUGUG
Molecule: long non-coding RNA, 1155 nt
Organism: Mus musculus (house mouse)
Lineage: Eukaryota; Metazoa; Chordata; Mammalia; Rodentia; Muridae
Product: predicted gene, 53633
Exons: 2
Source: RefSeq, a predicted model, not a curated record